GACGAACGCUGGCGGCGUGCCUAAGACAUGCAAGUCGAGCGGGGCGUAGCCAUACGCCCAGCGGCGGACGGGUGAGUAACACGUGGGUAACCUGCCCGCAGCACCGGGAUAACAGGCCGAAAGGCCUGCUAAUACGGGAUAAGCUCACGCCGGGCAUCCUGGCGGGAGAAAAGGCGCUGCAAGGCGCCGGGUGCGGAGGGGCCCGCGGCCCAUUAGCUAGUUGGCGGGGUAAGGGCCCACCAAGGCGACAAUGGGUAGCCGGCCUGAGAGGGCGGCC
RNAcentral lists this ribosomal RNA (277 nucleotides) under uncultured bacterium. Its description in RNAcentral is "partial 16S ribosomal RNA". It matches the Rfam family "Bacterial small subunit ribosomal RNA", at positions 28 to 305 of the family's 1533-position model. The record is from RNAcentral.